GCUCUGUGGGGGUGGUCCUCACCCACAGAGAUCCCCAUGCAAGGGCAUCUGGAAGGGACACUGGUCUUUACCGUUCAGGGUGGCAGCGGAAGUCGUGCGACCCCACACUCUGACUCACGCUUCUUCUACCUUUCUAAACUUGGAAGCCGGGCCUGUGUCUGCUGUCUGCCAGGUGAGGACGCAGUGCGAAGAUGGCAGCCUGCGAGCCGGAAAGGGGACUCUCGCGAGACUCUGAGCGAGCUGGCAUCCUGACCUCAGACUUCCGGCCUGCAGACCUGGGGACGUCUGCUGUUUUAGCUGCCUGCCUUGGGGUCUAUCCCUGUGGCAGCCUGAGCUGAGACAGAAGUCAUUUCCUAAGGUCAGAAGCUCAGAAUAAAGAACCAUUUCUACCUAAGUCCAGCGCAGUUUUCCACUCGUGGUGCCUUUUUUGAGAUGGCAGGAACACAGCCCUGUGAGGUCAGAGCUGUCAGAAGCCCCUGAGAAGCAGUGUGCAUUGGGAAGGGGCCCGAGACACCAAUGGAAGAACCUGGAGCCAUUUCUGGAGACCCGGGAUGUAUCUGGCAUUCCCAGAGGGCUGGCAGCUGCUUUCUCUUGAGCCCGAGCUGGCCGUGGUGGAGGAGUCUUGCCCACGAGCCAUGCCUGGGAGCGCCUGGGAGCUCAGCCUCUAUGUGAAGGGCUGCACUCCAGCUCCGAGGCAGGGGCCACCAUGGCAGACUGGUGUUUCUGCGAC
RNAcentral lists this long non-coding RNA (730 nucleotides) under Heterocephalus glaber (naked mole-rat). RNAcentral describes it as "lncRNA (ENSHGLG00100045315.1)". Lineage: Eukaryota; Metazoa; Chordata; Mammalia; Rodentia; Bathyergidae. The record is from RNAcentral.